GGGUUGUGAGGUUAAGCGACUAAGCGUACACGGUGGAUGCCCUGGCAGUCAGAGGCGAUGAAGGGCGUGCUAAUCUGCGAUAAGCGCCGGUAAGGUGAUAUGAACCGUUAUAACCGGCGAUACCCGAAUGGGGAAACCCAGUGUGACUCGUCACACUAUCAUUAACUGAAUCCAUAGGUUAAUGAGGCGAACCGGGGGAACUGAAACAUCUAAGUACCCCGAGGAAAAGAAAUCAACCGAGAUUCCCCCAGUAGCGGCGAGCGAACGGGGAGGAGCCCAGAGCCUGAAUCAGCAUGUGUGUUAGUGGAAGCGUCUGGAAAGGCGCGCGAUACAGGGUGACAGCCCCGUACACAAAAGCGCAUGUGCUGUGAGCUCGAUGAGUAGGGCGGGACACGUGGUAUCCUGUCUGAAUAUGGGGGGACCAUCCUCCAAGGCUAAAUACUCCUGACUGACCGAUAGUGAACCAGUACCGUGAGGGAAAGGCGAAAAGAACCCCGGCGAGGGGAGUGAAAAAGAACCUGAAACCGUGUACGUACAAGCAGUGGGAGCCCCACCACUAAGCCAGUGGUGAACUCCACAUACGCAUCCUUUGCUGAGGAUACGGUUAACGGAGCGCAAGCGACGUUCAACCUCAAAAGAAGCAGAGGGGGCUUAGUGGUGGGGUGACUGCGUACCUUUUGUAUAAUGGGUCAGCGACUUAUAUUCUGUAGCAAGGUUAACCGAAUAGGGGAGCCGGAGGGAAACCGAGUCUUAAUUGGGCGUUAAGUUGCAGGGUAUAGACCCGAAACCCGGUGAUCUAGCCAUGGGCAGGUUGAAGGUUGGGUAACACUAACUGGAGGACCGAACCGACUAAUGUUGAAAAAUUAGCGGAUGACCUGUGGCUGGGGGUGAAAGGCCAAUCAAACCGGGAGAUAGCUGGUUCUCCCCGAAAGCUAUUUAGGUAGCGCCUCGUGAAUUCAUCUCCGGGGGUAGAGCACUGUUUCGGCUAGGGGGCCAUCCCGGCUUACCAACCCGAUGCAAACUGCGAAUACCGGAGAAUGUUAUCACGGGAGACACACGGCGGGUGCUAACGUCCGUCGUGAAGAGGGAAACAACCCAGACCGCCAGCUAAGGUCCCAAAGUCAUGGUUAAGUGGGAAACGAUGUGGGAAGGCCCAGACAGCCAGGAUGUUGGCUUAGAAGCAGCCAUCAUUUAAAGAAAGCGUAAUAGCUCACUGGUCGAGUCGGCCUGCGCGGAAGAUGUAACGGGGCUAAACCAUGCACCGAAGCUGCGGCAGCGACGCUGAUGCGUUGUUGGGUAGGGGAGCGUUCUGUAAGCCUGUGAAGGUGGCCUGUGAGGGUUGCUGGAGGUAUCAGAAGUGCGAAUGCUGACAUAAGUAACGAUAAAGCGGGUGAAAAGCCCGCUCGCCGGAAGACCAAGGGUUCCUGUCCAACGUUAAUCGGGGCAGGGUGAGUCGACCCCUAAGGCGAGGCCGAAAGGCGUAGUCGAUGGGAAACGGGUUAAUAUUCCCGUACUUGGUGUUACUGCGAAGGGGGGACGGAGAAGGCUAUGUUGGCCGGGCGACGGUUGUCCCGGUUUAAGCGUGUAGGCGGGUGUUCCAGGUAAAUCCGGAACGCUGUUAACGCUGAGGCGUGAUGACGAGGCACUACGGUGCUGAAGCAACAAAUGCCCUGCUUCCAGGAAAAGCCUCUAAGCAUCAGGUAACAUCAAAUCGUACCCCAAACCGACACAGGUGGUCAGGUAGAGAAUACCAAGGCGCUUGAGAGAACUCGGGUGAAGGAACUAGGCAAAAUGGUGCCGUAACUUCGGGAGAAGGCACGCUGACACGUAGGUGAAGUGAUUUACUCAUGGAGCUGAAGUCAGUCGAAGAUACCAGCUGGCUGCAACUGUUUAUUAAAAACACAGCACUGUGCAAACACGAAAGUGGACGUAUACGGUGUGACGCCUGCCCGGUGCCGGAAGGUUAAUUGAUGGGGUCAGCGCAAGCGAAGCUCCUGAUCGAAGCCCCGGUAAACGGCGGCCGUAACUAUAACGGUCCUAAGGUAGCGAAAUUCCUUGUCGGGUAAGUUCCGACCUGCACGAAUGGCGUAAUGAUGGCCAGGCUGUCUCCACCCGAGACUCAGUGAAAUUGAACUCGCUGUGAAGAUGCAGUGUACCCGCGGCAAGACGGAAAGACCCCGUGAACCUUUACUAUAGCUUGACACUGAACAUUGAGCCUUGAUGUGUAG
Molecule: ribosomal RNA, 2228 nt
Filed under: Salmonella enterica
Lineage: Bacteria; Pseudomonadati; Pseudomonadota; Gammaproteobacteria; Enterobacterales; Enterobacteriaceae
Description: partial 23S ribosomal RNA
Rfam family: Bacterial large subunit ribosomal RNA
Source: RNAcentral